RNAcentral lists this ribosomal RNA (690 nucleotides) under Serratia sp. (in: enterobacteria). Its description in RNAcentral is "bacterial SSU rRNA". It matches the Rfam family "Bacterial small subunit ribosomal RNA", at positions 42 to 721 of the family's 1533-position model. Lineage: Bacteria; Pseudomonadati; Pseudomonadota; Gammaproteobacteria; Enterobacterales; Yersiniaceae. The record is from RNAcentral.
GCAGGCUUAACACAUGCAAGUCGAGCGGUAGCACAGGGGAGCUUGCUCCCUGGGUGACGAGCGGCGGACGGGUGAGUAAUGUCUGGGAAACUGCCUGAUGGAGGGGGAUAACUACUGGAAACGGUAGCUAAUACCGCAUAACGUCGCAAGACCAAAGAGGGGGACCUUCGGGCCUCUUGCCAUCAGAUGUGCCCAGAUGGGAUUAGCUAGUAGGUGGGGUAAUGGCUCACCUAGGCGACGAUCCCUAGCUGGUCUGAGAGGAUGACCAGCCACACUGGAACUGAGACACGGUCCAGACUCCUACGGGAGGCAGCAGUGGGGAAUAUUGCACAAUGGGCGCAAGCCUGAUGCAGCCAUGCCGCGUGUGUGAAGAAGGCCUUCGGGUUGUAAAGCACUUUCAGCGAGGAGGAAGGUGGUGAACUUAAUACGCUCAUCAAUUGACGUUACUCGCAGAAGAAGCACCGGCUAACUCCGUGCCAGCAGCCGCGGUAAUACGGAGGGUGCAAGCGUUAAUCGGAAUUACUGGGCGUAAAGCGCACGCAGGCGGUUUGUUAAGUCAGAUGUGAAAUCCCCGGGCUCAACCUGGGAACUGCAUUUGAAACUGGCAAGCUAGAGUCUCGUAGAGGGGGGUAGAAUUCCAGGUGUAGCGGUGAAAUGCGUAGAGAUCUGGAGGAAUACCGGUGGCGAAGG